RNAcentral lists this ribosomal RNA (1343 nucleotides) under uncultured bacterium. RNAcentral describes it as "16S ribosomal RNA". It matches the Rfam family "Bacterial small subunit ribosomal RNA", at positions 28 to 1378 of the family's 1533-position model. The record is from RNAcentral.
GACGAACGCUGGCGGCGUGCUUAACACAUGCAAGUCGAACGGAAAGGCCCUGCUUUUGUGGGGUGCUCGAGUGGCGAACGGGUGAGUAACACGUGAGUAACCUGCCCUUGACUUUGGGAUAACUUCAGGAAACUGGGGCUAAUACCGGAUAGGAGCUCCUGCUGCAUGGUGGGGGUUGGAAAGUUUCGGCGGUUGGGGAUGGACUCGCGGCUUAUCAGCUUGUUGGUGGGGUAGUGGCUUACCAAGGCUUUGACGGGUAGCCGGCCUGAGAGGGUGACCGGCCACAUUGGGACUGAGAUACGGCCCAGACUCCUACGGGAGGCAGCAGUGGGGAAUAUUGCACAAUGGGCGGAAGCCUGAUGCAGCAACGCCGCGUGCGGGAUGACGGCCUUCGGGUUGUAAACCGCUUUCGCCUGUGACGAAGCGUGAGUGACGGUAAUGGGUAAAGAAGCACCGGCUAACUACGUGCUAGCAGCCGCGGUGAUACGUAGGGUGCGAGCGUUGUCCGGAUUUAUUGGGCGUAAAGGGCUCGUAGGUGGUUGAUCGCGUCGGAAGUGUAAUCUUGGGGCUUAACCCUGAGCGUGCUUUCGAUACGGGUUGACUUGAGGAAGGUAGGGGAGAAUGGAAUUCCUGGUGGAGCGGUGGAAUGCGCAGAUAUCAGGAGGAACACCAGUGGCGAAGGCGGUUCUCUGGGCCUUUCCUGACGCUGAGGAGCGAAGGCGUGGGGAGCGAACAGGCUUAGAUACCCUGGUAGUCCACGCUGUAAACGGUGGGUACUAGGUGUGGGGUCCAUUCCACGGGUUCCGUGCCGUAGCUAACGCUUUAAGUACCCCGCCUGGGGAGUACGGCCGCAAGGCUAAAACUCAAAGGAAUUGACGGGGCCCCGCACAAGCGGCGGAGCAUGCGGAUUAAUUCGAUGCAACGCGUAGAACCUUACCUGGGUUUGACAUGGAUCGGGAGUGCUCAGAGAUGGGUGUGCCUCUUUUGGGGUCGGUUCACAGGUGGUGCAUGGCUGUCGUCAGCUCGUGUCGUGAGAUGUUGGGUUAAGUCCCGCAACGAGCGCAACCCUUGUUCACUGUUGCCAGCACGUUAUGGUGGGGACUCAGUGGAGACCGCCGGGGUCAACUCGGAGGAAGGUGGGGAUGACGUCAAGUCAUCAUGCCCCUUAUGUCCAGGGCUUCACGCAUGCUACAAUGGCUGGUACAGAGAGUGGCGAGCCUGUGAGGGUGAGCGAAUCUCGGAAAGCCGGUCUCAGUUCGGAUUGGGGUCUGCAACUCGACCUCAUGAAGUCGGAGUCGCUAGUAAUCGCAGAUCAGCAACGCUGCGGUGAAUACGUUCCCGGG